AUGAGAAUCUAGGUCUGGCCACAAUUUCAGGUGUCUUCUUUUAAAGUUAUUUAUUUUUAAACACUUUUUUUUUUUUUGAUACAGGAUCUCACUCUGUCACCCAGGCUGGAGUGCAGUGGCAAGAUCGAAGCUCAUUAUAGCCUCGACCUCCCCAGGCUCAGGAGUCACUCAGAAUCCAGCCACCUUGGAUAUGAGGAAGCAGAGCAACCUCAUGGAGAAACCACGUAGGUGUUCCUGCUGACAAUCCUAGCCGAGAUCCCAGCCAACAGCCAGCAUAACCUCAGACAUAUGUUGAAGUAAAUUAAAAUGGAGACCAGGCCUGAAGAAUCUCUGAGCAGACAAAACCAGUUAGGCCUCAUAAGUGACCUCAACCUUGAUUUACAAACACAAGGGAAACUUAUGUUGAGCCAUUUCUUGUAAAUGCCUGUAUUAAAGAAAAACAAAACUUAAGCUCAACCAAUUGGAAGUAGCCAAAAACUUAUAUAACUAGGGACUUUCCAAGAAGGUGAAUGAAUGAAUAAGGCAACUGUAAAAUUGCAAUCAAUCAAAUUAUUUAUUUUGCUCCACAUUUACCCCAUAAAUACUUGCCCCUGAUGAUUUGUCAUGAGAAAAUUAAACUUCUUUUGGUUUGGUAUUUCCCAAUUCAUUAAUUGCUUCCUAUUCAAAUGAACUCUAUUUUUUUUUUUUUUGAGAUGGAGUCUCGCACUGUCACCUGGGCUGGAGUGCAGUGGUGCGAUCUCGGCUCACUGCAACCUCUGCCUCCCCAGUCACACAUUUCUCCUGCCUCAGCCUCCCAAGUAGCUGGGAUUACAGGCGCGUGCCACCACGCCUGGCUAAUUUUUUGUAUUUUUAGUAGAGACGGGGUUUCAUUAUGUUGGCCAGACUGGUCUCAAAUCCUGACCUCGUGAUCCACCCGACUCGGCCUCCCAAAGUGCUGGGAUUACAGGCAUGAGCCACAGCACCCGGCUGGUCAAAUGAGCUCUUAAAAUUUUUUUUUUGUGCCUUAGUUUACCUUUUACAUAUGUGAAUGAGCAACUCCAAAUGAUUCCAGCCCCAAGCUUUUAAGUCAUCUCAGGCUUCCAAGUCUUCUCAGCUGAAGUCUCAGUGAUUCUGAAGCAGAGACAAGUCAUCCCCAC
RNAcentral lists this long non-coding RNA (1136 nucleotides) under Homo sapiens (human). Its description in RNAcentral is "HSALNT0016480". The record is from RNAcentral. Lineage: Eukaryota; Metazoa; Chordata; Mammalia; Primates; Hominidae.